Long non-coding RNA from Hemicordylus capensis (graceful crag lizard), 392 nucleotides. RefSeq lists it as uncharacterized. The transcript is spliced from 3 exons. The record is from RefSeq and is a predicted model, not a curated record. Lineage: Eukaryota; Metazoa; Chordata; Lepidosauria; Squamata; Cordylidae.
CAGCUGGAAGGAAAGGAAAGCUGCUCUGAUGUACAGGGUUUUUACUAAUGGGGACGGGGAAGAGGAGGAGGAGGCCACAGGAGCCUUGGUGCAAAGGUGGACAAUGGGAAGCCCGUGGUGUGCUAAGCUCUACAAUAUGUAAGACAUGAAGACCCCUAUGGCAUAAUUGGACCCCACCAGAUUUGGCAUUGGCUGCACAAUGUAAAGCAUGAUGCUAUGAAGGAAGUAAUAAGAUGUUAUUAUACUGAAUGCUAGUGUGCCAUUCCAACACAUAUGAAGGCAUGUGAUGCAGCAACUUUGCUGAUGCUAAGCAAGUCUGGACCUCGUCAAUACCUGGAUGGAAAACUGUCUGGGAACCCCAGAUAUGUCACCUUGAGUUCCAUGGAAGAAAA